UAAGACGUAGGGCGCGAGCGUUGUCCGGAUUUAUUGGGCGUAAAGAGCUCGUAGGCGGCUCGUUGCGUCGGCUGUGAAAACCCGCAGCUCAACUGUGGGCUUGCAGCCGAUACGGGCGGGCUAGGAUUCGGUAGGGGAGACUGGUAUUCCUGGUGUAGCGGUGAAAUGCGCAGAUAUCAGGAGGAACACCGGUGGCGAAGGCGGGUCUCUGGGCCGAUAUCGACGCUGAGGAGCGAAAGCGUGGGGAGCGAACAGGAUUAGAUACCCUGGUAGUCCACGC
Molecule: ribosomal RNA, 280 nt
Filed under: uncultured bacterium
Lineage: Bacteria
Description: partial 16S ribosomal RNA
Rfam family: Bacterial small subunit ribosomal RNA
Source: RNAcentral